This 447-nucleotide ribosomal RNA is filed under the name uncultured bacterium. Its description in RNAcentral is "partial 16S ribosomal RNA". It matches the Rfam family "Bacterial small subunit ribosomal RNA", at positions 29 to 523 of the family's 1533-position model. The record is from RNAcentral.
AACGAACGCUGGCGGCAGGCUUAACUCAUGCAAGUCGAACGCACCGCAAGGUGAGUGGCAGACGGGUGAGUAACGCGUGGGAACCUUCCUUUUAGUAAAGAAUAGCCCAGGGAAACUUGGAUUAAUACUUUAUACGCCCUACGGGGGAAAGAUUUAUCGCUAAAAGAUGGGACCGCGUUGGAUUAGCUAGUUGGUGAGGUAAUGGCUCACCAAGGCUACGAUCUAUAGCUGAUCUGAGAGGAUGAUCAGCCACACUGGAACUGAGACACCGUCCAGACUCCUACGGGAGGCAGCAGUGGGGAAUAUUGGACAAUGGGCGCAAGCUUGAUCCAGCCAUGCCGCGUGAAUGACGAGGGCCUUCGGGUUGUAAAGUUCUUUAGCAGGGGAAAAUCAUGAUGGUACCCUGAAAAUAAGCUCCGGCUAACUUCGUGCCAGCCGCCGCAGUAA